This 264-nucleotide ribosomal RNA is filed under the name Pseudomonas sp. RNAcentral's name for it is "partial 16S ribosomal RNA". It matches the Rfam family "Bacterial small subunit ribosomal RNA", at positions 240 to 496 of the family's 1533-position model. Lineage: Bacteria; Pseudomonadati; Pseudomonadota; Gammaproteobacteria; Pseudomonadales; Pseudomonadaceae. The record is from RNAcentral.
AUUAGCUAGUUGGUGAGGUAAUGGCUCACCAAGGCGACGAUCCGUAACUGGUCUGAGAGGAUGAUCAGUCACACUGGAACUGAGACACGGUCCAGACUCCUACGGGAGGCAGCAGUGGGGAAUAUUGGACAAUGGGCGAAAGCCUGAUCCAGCCAUGCCGCGUGUGUGAAGAAGGUCUUCGGAUUGUAAAGCACUUUAAGUUGGGAGGAAGGGUAGUAACCUAAUACGUUGCUACUUUGACGUUACCGACAGAAUAAGCACCGG